UAGAGUUGUAAAACUCCCUAAACCCACUGUAAAUAUACCUAUGUUGUUCCUUCGGCAGGCGGCCCCCGGGGGGGGUUCGCCGUCGACCGGCGCCUGCCGAAGGACAAACAAAACUCUGCUGCUUUAGUGUUACUUCUGAGCAACUAAAACAAAUAAGUCA
Molecule: unclassified non-coding RNA, 160 nt
Filed under: uncultured Phaeoacremonium
Lineage: Eukaryota; Fungi; Ascomycota; Sordariomycetes
Description: sequence contains ITS1
Source: RNAcentral